This 83-nucleotide ribosomal RNA is filed under the name Klossia helicina. RNAcentral describes it as "large subunit ribosomal RNA". RNAcentral also lists the same sequence under 3 other names. The record is from RNAcentral. Lineage: Eukaryota; Apicomplexa; Adeleidae.
CUGGAAGCGUCUGUAAGGUUACAACACAAGACACUGAUAACUUUGAUGAAGAGGUCAAGCCAUUGGCAUUUGCCCGGCACCUU